This 477-nucleotide ribosomal RNA is filed under the name uncultured bacterium. Its description in RNAcentral is "bacterial SSU rRNA". It matches the Rfam family "Bacterial small subunit ribosomal RNA", at positions 501 to 981 of the family's 1533-position model. The record is from RNAcentral.
CUACGUGCCAGCAGCCGCGGUAAUACGGAAGGUUCAGGCGUUAUCCGGAUUUAUUGGGUUUAAAGGGAGCGUAGGCUGGAGAUUAAGUGUGUUGUGAAAUGUAGACGCUCAACGUCUGACUUGCAGCGCAUACUGGUUUCCUUGAGUACGCACAACGUUGGCGGAAUUCGUCGUGUAGCGGUGAAAUGCUUAGAUAUGACGAAGAACUCCGAUUGCGAAGGCAGCUGACGGGAGCGCAACUGACGCUUAAGCUCGAAGGUGCGGGUAUCAAACAGGAUUAGAUACCCUGGUAGUCCGCACAGUAAACGAUGGAUGCCCGCUGUUGGUACCUGGUAUCAGCGGCUAAGCGAAAGCAUUAAGCAUCCCACCUGGGGAGUACGCCGGCAACGGUGAAACUCAAAGGAAUUGACGGGGGCCCGCACAAGCGGAGGAACAUGUGGUUUAAUUCGAUGAUACGCGAGGAACCUUACCCGGGCU